GUGAUCUAGCCAUGGGCAGGUUGAAGGUUGGGUAACACUAACUGGAGGACCGAACCGACUAAUGUUGAAAAAUUAGCGGAUGACUUGUGGCUGGGGGUGAAAGGCCAAUCAAACCGGGAGAUAGCUGGUUCUCCCCGAAAGCUAUUUAGGUAGCGCCUCGUGAAUUCAUCUCCGGGGGUAGAGCACUGUUUCGGCAAGGGGGUCAUCCCGACUUACCAACCCGAUGCAAACUGCGAAUACCGGAGAAUGUUAUCACGGGAGACACACGGCGGGUGCUAACGUCCGUCGUGAAGAGGGAAACAACCCAGACCGCCAGCUAAGGUCCCAAAGUCAUGGUUAAGUGGGAAACGAUGUGGGAAGGCCCAGACAGCCAGGAUGUUGGCUUAGAAGCAGCCAUCAUUUAAAGAAAGCGUAAUAGCUCACUGGUCGAGUCGGCCUGCGCGGAAGAUGUAACGGGGCUAAACCAUGCACCGAAGCUGCGGCAGCGACGCUUAUGCGUUGUUGGGUAGGGGAGCGUUCUGUAAGCCUGCGAAGGUGUGCUGUGAGGCAUGCUGGAGGUAUCAGAAGUGCGAAUGCUGACAUAAGUAACGAUAAAGCGGGUGAAAAGCCCGCUCGCCGGAAGACCAAGGGUUCCUGUCCAACGUUAAUCGGGGCAGGGUGAGUCGACCCCUAAGGCGAGGCCGAAAGG
RNAcentral lists this ribosomal RNA (688 nucleotides) under Escherichia coli. RNAcentral describes it as "partial 23S ribosomal RNA". It matches the Rfam family "Bacterial large subunit ribosomal RNA", at positions 725 to 1409 of the family's 2925-position model. The record is from RNAcentral. Lineage: Bacteria; Pseudomonadati; Pseudomonadota; Gammaproteobacteria; Enterobacterales; Enterobacteriaceae.